This 280-nucleotide long non-coding RNA is filed under the name Carica papaya (papaya). RNAcentral's name for it is "long non-coding RNA (CPAP_LNC014660)". Lineage: Eukaryota; Viridiplantae; Streptophyta; Magnoliopsida; Brassicales; Caricaceae. The record is from RNAcentral.
CCGCUGUCGGACAAAGAUUGAACACGAACCACUGGCUCAGGCCAGUCCUCCAUGUUGCUCAUGAUUAGAAAAGAAUAGUAGUGGUUGUGAAAUAUAUAUAUAUAUCAAUAACAGGGUUGAUUAUGAUAAGCACAAGAAAGUUGUACUUUUUUUUUUUUUUUUUCUGGGAAAAAUUGAAGGUUGAAGAAGGAUGAGUGGGAGAGCAGGAGCAGUUAAAAGAAGGUGUGAAGGUAGUGGGGAUGGGAAGUGGAGGGAAAUUGAAGUGGACGUGGAGGAGAAC